Molecule: long non-coding RNA, 662 nt
Organism: Hyla sarda
Lineage: Eukaryota; Metazoa; Chordata; Amphibia; Anura; Hylidae
Exons: 3
Source: RefSeq, a predicted model, not a curated record
CUGUGAUGGAGAGGAAAGGUCGUGGCUGAAGGACCUGUGUGAUGCUGUGGAGGAGGCGGGGCCAAGCUGGAGGAGAGGUCACAUUUCACUCUAGUAAGGAAAUUAACAUGGGAAACCCCGAAGGUUAAAGAAGAGUAUCAACUUAAAGCAUUAUGGCACUCCGACUGACCUCCGUUAAUUGCAAAGGCUUGAAUUCCCCAAUCAAAAGAAACAAGUAACAAGAAGAUAUGCCGCAUAUGAACAAAGAAGGAAAAUUCAUAUUUAAGUGAAUCAUCUCUUAGUGAAGUAAGAUGCCACAAAUGUGGGUGAAGUGGAUUGAGAAUUACUACAUCUGAGUGCCAAGAUUUUCUAAACCAACAACAUUCUUAAUUGUCUUCUGCCUGUUUGGCAAGAGAAUUAAAAGCAUUUAGAACAAAUUGUAUGUGAUUCCUAAACACACGCCUGACCAGUUCAGAUCGUUGUAUUAUCCAGCAAUCUGCAGAAAACAAGCACCUAACAUAAUUUGCCAAAGUAAAUGUAUUAACAUUACAGUUACAGUAAGUACGUCACUAUAUUUAUAUUGUGUUGAAGCAUUCCCUGGUAUUAUGUUUUACUGCUUAUGUGUUUGUACGAUUGUAUUAGAAAUGUAAACGUUUGUUUUAUCUGGACAUCCCCUUCUUUGA